UAGGGAAUCUUCCACAAUGGACGCAAGUCUGAUGGAGCAACGCCGCGUGAGUGAAGAAGGUUUUCGGACCGUAAAGCUCUGUUGUUGGUGAAGAAGGAUAGAGGUAGUAACUGGCCUUUAUUUGACGGUAAUCAACCAGAAAGUCACGGCUAACUACGUGCCAGCAGCCGCGGUAAAUCGUAGGUGGCAAGCGUUGUCCGGAUUUAUUGGGCGUAAAGCGAGCGCAGGCGGAAGAAUAAGUCUGAUGUGAAAGCCCUCGGCUUAACCGAGGAAUUGCAUCGGAAACUGUUUUUCUUGAGUGCAGAAGAGGAGAGUAGAACUCCAUGUGUAGCGGUGGAAUGCGUAGAUAUAUGGAAGAAUACCAGUGGCGAAGGCGGCUCUCUGGUCUGCAACUGACGCUGAGGCUCGAAAGCAUGGGUAGCGAACAGGAUUAGAUACCCUGGUAGUCCAUGCCGUAAACGAUGAGUGCUAAGUGUUGGGAGGCUUCCGCCUCUCAGUGCUGCAGCUAACGCAUUAAGCACUCCGCCUGGGGGAGUGCGACCGCAAGGUUGAAAC
RNAcentral lists this ribosomal RNA (555 nucleotides) under uncultured bacterium. Its description in RNAcentral is "partial 16S ribosomal RNA". It matches the Rfam family "Bacterial small subunit ribosomal RNA", at positions 355 to 900 of the family's 1533-position model. The record is from RNAcentral.